CUUUAACUUACACCCAAAUCGCCAGGGAACUACGAGCAAAGCUUAAAACCCAAAGGACUUGACGGUACCCCACAUCCACCUAGAGGAGCCUGUCCUAUAAUCGAUAAUCCCCGUUUAACCUCACCAUUUUUUGCUUUUCAGCCUGUAUACCUCCGUCGUCAGCUUACCACGUGAGCGUCCCUCAGUGAGCUUAAUGUCCCUCGUCAAAACGUCAGGUCAAGGUGCAGCACACAAAAUGGGAAGAGAUGGGCUACACUCUCUAACAUAGAACACACGGAAGGCUACAUAUGAAACCCAGCCUGAAGGCGGAUUUAGUAGUAAAAGGAGACAAGAGAGCUCUUUUUAACACGGCACUGGGGUGUGUACACACCGCCCGUCACCUUUG
This 385-nucleotide ribosomal RNA is filed under the name Scinax agilis. RNAcentral describes it as "partial 12S ribosomal RNA". It matches the Rfam family "Bacterial small subunit ribosomal RNA", at positions 875 to 1405 of the family's 1533-position model. The record is from RNAcentral. Lineage: Eukaryota; Metazoa; Chordata; Amphibia; Anura; Hylidae.